This is a ribosomal RNA of 643 nucleotides. It matches the Rfam family "Eukaryotic small subunit ribosomal RNA", at positions 625 to 1271 of the family's 1831-position model.
CGCUCGUAGUCGGAUUUCGGGGCGUGCGAGCCGGUCUGCCGCUGGGUAUGCACUGGCUGUGCGCGUCCUUUCUUUCGGAGCUCUCUGCUGCUCUUAGCUGAGCGGUGGAGGGAGACGGAUCGUUUACUUUGAAAAAAUCAGAGUGUUUCAAGCAGGCAGCUCGCUCUUGCAUGGAUUAGCAUGGGAUAAUGAAAUAGGACUCUGGUGCUAUUUUGUUGGUUUCGAACACCGGAGUAAUGAUUAACAGGGACAGUCAGGGGCACUCGUAUUCCGCCGAGAGAGGUGAAAUUCUCAGACCAGCGGAAGACGAACCACUGCGAAAGCAUUUGCCAGGGAUGUUUUCACUGAUCAAGAACGAAAGUUAGGGGAUCGAAGACGAUCAGAUACCGUCGUAGUCUUAACCAUAAACCAUGCCGACUAGGGAUUGGGGGCUGUUCCAUUUGUGACUCCCUCAGCACCUUUCGGGAAACUAAAGUCUUUGGGUUCCGGGGGGAGUAUGGUCGCAAGGCUGAAACUUAAAGGAAUUGACGGAAGGGCACCACCAGGAGUGGAGCCUGCGGCUUAAUUUGACUCAACACGGGGAAACUUACCAGGUCCAGACAUUGUGAGGAUUGACAGAUUGAGAGCUCUUUCUUGAUUCGAU